AUUUUUUUUUUUUUUUUUUUGGGUGGUUGUGCAAUAGUAGAAGUUUAUAUCUGUGAAAAAAGAGUUGAGGAAACGAGUGAAAGCCACUUUUUAUGACAACCAAUUUUUCUUAUUAAGACAUCCGAGUGACAAAAACAUACAAGUUCCAAUAAUAUAAUUUUUUUAAAACUAUUGGGCCUCCGAAAUCCAAAAAACAGUAUGGAUGGUGAACGGGCCUUAUAGGCAGUCAUCAUAACAUUGUUUAGUGAGAGGUCAAGUGUAAAAUUUAUUGUUUUCUAGAUGUAAAAUUAUAAUCUUGGAAUUUUCUUUCCCUCGUGCUUAAAUUGUAGGCAGCCUAUAUUGCUCCAUCACUUGGUUAAUGGCUUCUUUAUUCUUCUGCUUCCAGAAUUUGAGGGGAGGUGAUUUCU
This 407-nucleotide unclassified non-coding RNA is filed under the name Hevea brasiliensis (rubber tree). Lineage: Eukaryota; Viridiplantae; Streptophyta; Magnoliopsida; Malpighiales; Euphorbiaceae. The record is from RNAcentral.